RNAcentral lists this long non-coding RNA (310 nucleotides) under Homo sapiens (human). RNAcentral describes it as "HSALNT0150086". Lineage: Eukaryota; Metazoa; Chordata; Mammalia; Primates; Hominidae. The record is from RNAcentral.
GCUGUACUGCAGCAGAGGCAAUUGGAGCCAAUAUUACACAGUCCUUAAGCUAAAAAUGCCAGAGGUAAGCCUGAGACCCAGUGCCGACUAAUUUAAUUAAGAAGAUCUCUGCUGGAAGGUGUCUGGGAAAGAAUUUUCUUCUUAAAGAGAGAUGGAUGAAGGAAGUUCUACAGUGGAACUCUAUCAUAUGUGCAUUAAACUGAAUUGAAAUCAUACGACUCAGCAAAAUCAACAUAACAACUGAUGACAACAAAAACAGCCAUAUAAACAAAAACUGUUGGGCAUUUUAAAAAUACAGAAUGGCUCAAAA